This is an RNA transcript of Zonotrichia leucophrys gambelii, 6023 nucleotides long. It is a transcript of the gene named 5-hydroxytryptamine receptor 7, with no coding region annotated. The transcript is spliced from 3 exons. Lineage: Eukaryota; Metazoa; Chordata; Aves; Passeriformes; Passerellidae. The record is from RefSeq and is a predicted model, not a curated record.
GGGCCCCCGCGGGCGGCUCGGCCGGCUGCGAGGGGGCGGGCGGCGCCGGGCGCCCGAGGAGGAGCCCGAGCAUCCCGGCGCCGGGGCCAGCCGGAGAGCGGGCGGCGAGGCUCCAUGGGCUGCUCACGGCAGCAUGGUGCUCGCCCUCAACGGCAGCCACCUCUCCGGUAACCCGCUGCGGCCGCUGGCGCUGGAGGAGCCGCGGGCGCUGGGCGGCGGCAGGAUGAUCGCCGGCUCCUGGCCCCCGCGCAGCCUGGCCAAGCUCGGCCCGUCGCCCCCCCCGUCGGCGCUGCCCACGGCGAGCCCCCUCCCCGCCAACGACUCCCAGUGCGGGGAGCAGAUCCUCAGCUACGGCAGCGCCGAGAAAGUUCUCAUCGGGGCCGUGCUCUGCCUCAUCACCCUGCUGACCAUCGCCGGCAACUGCCUGGUGGUGAUCUCCGUGUGCUUCGUGAAGAAGCUGCGGCAGCCCUCCAACUAUCUCAUCGUCUCGCUGGCCCUGGCCGAUCUCUCGGUGGCCCUGGCCGUCAUGCCCUUCGUCAGCGUCACCGACCUUAUCGGCGGGGAGUGGAUCUUCGGGCGCCUCUUCUGCAACGUCUUCAUCGCCAUGGAUGUCAUGUGCUGCACGGCCUCCAUCAUGACCCUCUGUGUGAUAAGUAUCGACAGGUACCUGGGAAUCACAAGGCCCCUCACAUACCCUGUAAGGCAGAAUGGGAAGUGCAUGGCCAAGAUGAUCCUGUGUGUCUGGCUGUUGUCUGCCUCUAUCACCAUUCCCCCGCUCUUCGGCUGGGCCCAGAACGUCAAUGAUGAAAAGGUUUGCCUCAUCAGUCAAGACUUUGGCUACACCAUUUACUCCACAGCAGUUGCAUUUUACAUCCCAAUGUCAGUGAUGCUUUUCAUGUACUAUCAGAUCUAUAAAGCUGCCAGGAGGAGUGCUGCUAAACACAAGUUUUCUGGUUUUCCCCGUCUGGAAGAAAUGGAAGGGAUUUCUGUGAAUGGACUUGUAAAACUGCACAAGGAAUCUGAAGAAUGUACUAAUUUUUCACGACUCCUAAAGCACGACAAGAAAAACAUUUCCAUCUUUAAAAGAGAACAGAAAGCUGCCACCACCCUUGGGAUUAUUGUUGGGGCUUUCACAAUCUGCUGGCUGCCCUUUUUCCUCCUCUCAACUGCAAGGCCCUUCAUCUGUGGUACAGCGUGCAGCUGCAUCCCCCUCUGGGUGGAGAGAACAUUUCUGUGGCUGGGCUAUGCAAACUCCCUCAUUAACCCUUUUAUCUAUGCCUUCUUCAACCGGGACCUGAGGACAACCUAUCGCAACCUGCUGCAGUGCAGAUACAGGAACAUCAACCGCAAACUCUCGGCCGCGGGCAUGCACGAGGCUCUGAAGCUUGCAGAAAAGCCAGAAUUCGUUCUGUAAGGCUACUCAUCCUCUACUGUGAUCAUUUGCUGUUUUAUCACAUUGACUUUUCCCCCACAGGUUUGAAAGAAGUGUUGCAGGAGGAACCAGUUGAGCACUGUUAAUGCAGUCAGCAGGAAACAAGGUAGAGCCCACCUGUCCUAAUGGGCCUGGAAAAGCAAGAGCACCAUCUAGAGAAUUUGGGUCUAAGAUGAAUAUAAGAAAGGACGGAAGUGAAAUGUAGCACAGGAUGUUUGAGCUGUUAGUGAGGAAGAAGCAAAGUUGGCCUAAUCCGUUUGUUUGGCCCAAAAAAUGUUUAGUAGGUCUGAAUGUUGGAUGCACCUUGUGUCCAGGAGAUUCUUUGCUGUAAUAAAGACCUGAGAAUGGUGAAAAGUUAAUUUCCUUCCACUUCAGUAUUACAAAAAUAAAUCAUUAAAGAAGUUGAAUGAAAGAACUUGUAUUCCUUAGAAAUAUUCUUUAUGAUAAAACCCCAUAUGUUCAUUAAACAUUAAUUUACUGGAUUGCCUGGAAAUGAACUAUGUUGUGAAAUUCAAUAUUGCCUUUGCACAGCAAAUCUGGCACUGAAAGAAUAUGUCACACUUCCAAUGUGAUUAAAGAGUUUGAGUAAAGUCACAUGGACCAACACCUACUGCUGCAUACAGCCCUGCAGCACAGUCAGCUGCAGUGCUGCUGUGCAAAUCACACCAGGAGAAGUUCUGAUUUCUCCAGGGAAAAAGAGUCAUGACCAAAUGUGCUUCAGAGCAGCCAGAAAAAGUCGAGCCAGACCAGGAAGAAGAAAAAUGAAGAGUUGGCUUCUGAAGAACUGGAUGGAUUUAUAAAAUGUACUUCAUCUUCCUUUGAUGGGAGUGUGCUAAAAAUAUUCCAUGAGCUCAAUACAUUGCAUUAGAUACAUUUCUAUUGGAAGUGCUCACAUCUUGUUUGUUAUGGAAGAAAAUGCUGUUACAUACAAAUGAAAAUAGUUUUCUGCCUGAGAAAGCCAAAUAAUUCCAGCAAUAAGUUUGACAAAGGGUGGGGGGAAUGCCACUAAAACUCAAAGAUAAAGCCUUGUACAGAUUUCCACCACAUUUAAUUAUGUAGAAGAACAUUUGUAUGUUUACCAUGCUUGUGGGUCCCAGCACUGGUAUUCAUAUUCAGGGACUGUCAGUGAUACUGAAUGUAUUUUGCUCUACUAAAAAAGAGAGGUUUUCAGGCAAAUGUUGUCUCUGUGGAUGCUUUCAGAACUUGUGUUAAAGAGAUGCUGUACACCUGCAAUGGCAUUGAGAAUGACAACAAUAAAAGCCAAAUUUUUGUUAAAGAUUUCUGUUGUAUUAAGUAAAUGUCUGUUACUUGUUGCAUACAUGUGGUUGGUUCUCCCAAACUUUUGUAAAAAGCUGCUUUCAGUUAUGCAGUGACAAAAGUUAAGGGACCAAAUUAGAAUGCACAUGUAUUACACCACAGCUAAUUUACGCAUAUGAUUGCUUUAACGCAAUUUUCAUGAUCUGCCAAUUUAUAAAUUCCUGUCAUUUCAAUUCAAAUAUGUAUAAAAGGCUGGAGAGUUUCCACAGCGUUUGGCUUUUUGUCUUACUGCCUAGCUAGAGAAUUAUUUUUUUAUUUUUGAAAAUGUGUUUAAGAAGUGUUGUUUCUGCCAAUGGUUUGUUAUAAUUAAAACAGAUCCCUUUUGGCUUGACAAAAACUAAAUAGGUGAGUAUAAAUGACCAUUUUUCCCAGGGAAAAUUGAUUCAAGGCACUGUUUCUUAAAAAUGGCUUUUAAUUUUUUUUUUUGAGCUUCUCUUAUUAACUUCCCUUCAGAGUUUCUAAACUAUGCACAGUUACACAAUGCACAAUUCAGAAGCAUAUCUCAUUCCCAAAGUCUGUCUUCUUUAAAGGUACAUCUCAAUGAGCAUUUGCCUUAUUUCCAUAGCUGUGGGAUUUGUGAUAAUUUAAUCCCUUGCAGUUUAACCAAAAUGCUGCUGGUAAAUCAUCCAGCAGCUACACGUGCCAUUGGGGCUUUGAUUUCCUUUGUUUAAAUCAAUAUUAAAGUUCACCAUAACUGCCUAAAUAAGGAGUCAGACAUAUCAGAACAGGCCAAUUAAUUCCUUAUUGGCAAGGAAUCAGCAUAGGAAGCAAAUCAAAUAUAUGUUAGGCCUAUGUAAAACCUAGAACAGAGAGCCUAAUCCUUAUUCUACACCUGAUCCUGACACCCUAGGCUGAUUCCUGUGGUUCCAUGACAGCACCAGGGUGGCAGAUUUUCAUUCACUAGGUCAGCAAGGCUGAUUUCAUUAUCUUACUGAUAUAACUACUCACUGUGAGCUCUGCAGCUGAAACAAAAUGAGUCUUACAGUUAAUUUUAUUUUCCAGAGGGAAUGACACAAAAAUGCUUUUUACUUGGUUAGCCUGAAGUAUUUAACAGGAAAAGGGACAGAUAUUGGCAAAGGCCAGUAGACCAAUUCUGGCUGCAUUUUAUGAGAAUACAUUCAGAGGAACUCAGCUGAAGGCAAAACUACAUCGGCAGAUUAUAUUAUAACUGAACCUAGUGAGAAAGGGAGAUGAUAGUUUCACAAAUGUACCAAGAAAAAAGGGGGGGAGGGGUUCAUUAAAAAAACAAACCCAAGCCUUUAAAUGAAGGGCAGUGGCAUGCUCUGAAAAUCAUUUUCAAGCUUUAUGGUCUCAGUUGCAUGUCCAUUUCACAAAGGCAAUGAAACAAUUUUACUUUGAUGAAUUAGACUGUCAUUUUCCUUGUUCAUGAUGCUGUGUCAAAACCUUAACUUGAAGUGAAAUAGAAAAAUUAUACAUUAUAUAUUUAAAGGACUUUUUUAAAAGCCCCAAAUAAAAAAUAGCUACCAGUAAAAUUUUUCUGUGAAAAUUUAUGAGUUCUUUAAUGUCAUUAUUUUAAGCGUAAGGGAAAAUGUGUGCUUUAAGAGGAACUUAAUAGAGGGCAAAAGAGUCAGAAAAAGCUUUUGGCUGCUAGGGAGCUACAGUUCCAGGCAGAUGUAUCCAUACAUAUAUAUAACACACACACACACUUAUGUCCCUUGAAUUUUAGGGCAGUACUUCCUCAUGAAAAGAAAGUAGUGAAUCUAUUAUUACCUGAUAAACAUUUGUUUAUUUUACUACCUAUUACAUUCCCAGAAUCUCACAGAAAUUAUGAGGCUCUCUGUGGCAUCACAAACCUAUAACGUUGCAGUUCUACCUGUUUUAGCACAAAAAGUUUUUCGCCCAGGAUCUUUCAGACACACAAACAGCACAGAGAAUUAGGACAUUAGGAACUACUCAUUUCUGAUACUUGGCCAUAGGAAAUGAGGCUCAUUUUUUUUCCUGCUCAGGUCUGUCACCUCUCAAAGCAAUGCACAAACCCACACAGCAGCAGCAAGGAGAGAGACCCAAGGCCAAGUGCAAAUACCAGCAAAUAAUGCACACAGUAUUUUAGAGGAUUAGGAGAGAAACAGGGCUGAUCAAAAGAGGUCAGGAGAUGAGACAGCCUGGUGGGAUAAGGAGUUCAGCUUUCAGCAGUUCCUGCAGCCCCCAGCACAUGGACCUGCCUCACACUGGGGUAAUCCAGGUCCCCAGGCUUGGGCGCAGUGACAGCAGAGGGGUGAUGCCAGAAGCAAGGCUCAGAACCGCUCCUCUGGGUCUGCUGAGGGCUACAUCUCUCUAGCCUUGUCACUGAAACCUGCUCUGGGAUGUGACACUGAGCAGUUUGCGUUUUCACAGGGCUGCCCUACGGUAGUUACCAUUGCAUUUAUCUGUUACCAUUGUCAUUUAAUAAAAUAAAUGACUUUUAAAAAUUGUAUACUCCUUGAUCUUUCACUAUCCACCUGAUCUUAUCUUUUCCCCAUGUACUCUUGUGGUUAACAGACCACUGAGAUAUUUGGUAGACAAGCCUACUGUACCUUUAUUAUAUCUCUCCUGCACUUCCCUUAUCUUUUUUUCUAGAUUAAUCUUUUUUUAUUCUACCAACUUAAAGCCUUUUCCUAGCUGUCCCCCUGAUUCUACUAGUAAAAUUCUUACUAAAUUAUGUGGCUCUAUCAAGACAACAAAGUGAUUCAUUUGCUUCAGACAUGAUCACAAAAUAAAUUCAGUGAUAAAAAGAAUUUUUUUUUUAUUAUCACAAUAUACACUGAUUAAAAUGCUAUGUGGAAGCACAAAAAUAAUAUCUAUGUAUACUAUGUAAGCAGUCAGAUGAUCUCAAUUUUAAAAGAUGAAAGUGAAUUCUAUGUAUUAUUUUAGCCACCACAGACUUUUAAUAUGCAAAAUUCACCAGAGGAUUGAGAUGGAACUCCAUUUCAGGUCAUAUAUUUAACCUUGACAAGAUCUGGUAAAACAUAAAGAUGGGUAACACAAGAGACUCCUUUCCCCAAAUAGCUUACCAAGAAAUACAAACACAAUAAAAUGAAGCUCUUCAUGUUGUAAUUAGCCUGUGCUGAAAACAUUGAGUAUCUUUUGUUGUAAUAUGAGUUUUAUUUGUAAGGAAAAAAAUUGCUGUCACUUACAUUGCAAAUUAUUCAAAUUUAUACAGCAGACUAAUUUAACAGAAAAGGAAAUAGGGUUUUUCUGUAUUAGGUACCAAGUUAUAAUAUGCUUUUAAAAUGUAUAAGCCUAGAGGAAUAUUAAAAUGUUAAUUUGGAUAGUA